This is a long non-coding RNA of Papaver somniferum (opium poppy), 486 nucleotides long. RefSeq lists it as uncharacterized. The record is from RefSeq and is a predicted model, not a curated record. The transcript has 2 exons. Lineage: Eukaryota; Viridiplantae; Streptophyta; Magnoliopsida; Ranunculales; Papaveraceae.
UUUACUCCAUUUACAGGGGUGGAUCACCACUAUCAAACCAUGCAGUUUGGAUGUGCACUUUUAUAGGACGAGACCAAAGUUACAUUUUCGUGGUUGUUUAGUAUUUGGUUUGAAGCUAUGGGAGGAAAACAUCCAUCUGCUAUUAUAACCGACCAAGAUGAUGCCAUGGCUUUUGCUAUAAAGAAGAAAUCUUUCCAAAUCGAGAUAAAUGUGGAAGUGAGAAGAGUUCAAAGUAUGGACAAAUAACUAUGAAGGAAGUCCUAAAAUCUUGUAAUGACUGGUGUAAGCCUAACUGCUGCUUAGUCCAAAAGCUUAACCAAUUAGUAGCAACGCACUGAUGGACGACCAAUUGAUGUCAAAUGAGAGUUUAGUUUAUGUUACUAUCUAGGAAAUGCUUUUUCUUAAUAAGUUUUCAGUUGACAAUAUUUUGAUAUUUCAGUUCAAUUACAUUUUGGCAAUGUUAUGAUUAUUUGACUAUCAUCUGAA